This 305-nucleotide ribosomal RNA is filed under the name uncultured bacterium. RNAcentral describes it as "bacterial SSU rRNA". It matches the Rfam family "Bacterial small subunit ribosomal RNA", at positions 335 to 639 of the family's 1533-position model. The record is from RNAcentral.
UGCCUACGGGAGGCAGCAGUGAGGAAUAUUGGUCAAUGGGCGCGAGCCUGAACCAGCCAAGUCGCGUGAGGGAAGACGGUCCUAUGGAUUGUAAACCUCUUUUGUCGGGGAGCAAAAGACGCCACGCGUGGCGUUCCGAGAGUACCCGAAGAAAAAGCAUCGGCUAACUCCGUGCCAGCAGCCGUGGUAAUACGGAGGAUGCGAGCGUUAUCCGGAUUUAUUGGGUUUAAAGGGUGCGUAGGCGGAAGGUUAAGUCAGCGGUCAAAUGUCGGUGCUCAACACCGGCCUGCCGUUGAAACUGGUCU